This 253-nucleotide ribosomal RNA is filed under the name uncultured bacterium. RNAcentral describes it as "partial 16S ribosomal RNA". It matches the Rfam family "Bacterial small subunit ribosomal RNA", at positions 524 to 776 of the family's 1533-position model. The record is from RNAcentral.
GACGUAGGGCGCGAGCGUUGUCCGGAUUUAUUGGGCGUAAAGAGCUCGUAGGCGGCUUGUCGCGUCGUCCGUGAAAACCUGCAGCUCAACUGCAGGCUUGCGGUCGAUACGGGCAGGCUGGAGUUCGGUAGGGGAGACUGGAAUUCCUGGUGUAGCGGUGAAAUGCGCAGAUAUCAGGAGGAACACCGGUGGCGAAGGCGGCAUCCUGGACCAACACUGACACUGAGGAGCGAAAGCCAGGGGAGCAAACGGG